GGAUGCGAGCGUUAUCCGGAUUUAUUGGGUUUAAAGGGUGCGUAGGCGGGCUUUUAAGUCAGCGGUAAAAAUUCGGGGCUCAACCCCGUCCGGCCGUUGAAACUGGGGGCCUUGAGUGGGCGAGAAGAAGGCGGAAUGCGUGGUGUAGCGGUGAAAUGCAUAGAUAUCACGCAGAACCCCGAUUGCGAAGGCAGCAUACCGGCGCUCAACUGACGCUCAUGCACGAAAGCGUGGGUAUCGAAC
RNAcentral lists this ribosomal RNA (243 nucleotides) under uncultured bacterium. Its description in RNAcentral is "partial 16S ribosomal RNA". It matches the Rfam family "Bacterial small subunit ribosomal RNA", at positions 530 to 773 of the family's 1533-position model. The record is from RNAcentral.